RNAcentral lists this ribosomal RNA (773 nucleotides) under uncultured Neocallimastigales. RNAcentral's name for it is "partial large subunit ribosomal RNA". It matches the Rfam family "Eukaryotic large subunit ribosomal RNA", at positions 24 to 616 of the family's 3401-position model. Lineage: Eukaryota; Fungi; Neocallimastigomycota; Neocallimastigomycetes; Neocallimastigales. The record is from RNAcentral.
ACGACUACAUAUCAGGCAUAUCAAUAAGCGGAGGAAAAGAAACUAACAAGGAUUCCCUUAGUAACGGCGAGUGAAGCGGGAAGAGCUCAAAUUUGAAAUCUUCAAGGUUUUACCUUGACGAAUUGUAGUUUAAAGAAGUGUUUUCUGUUGAAGUUUUGGUAAAAGUUCUUUGGAAUAGGACAUCAUAGAGGGUGAGAAUCCCGUAUUUGACCAUUAUUUUCAGCUGUGUGAUACACUUUCAAAGAGUCGGAUUGUUUGGGAAUGCAGUCCAAAAUGGGUGGUAAAUUUCAUCUAAAGCUAAAUAUUGGCGAGAGACCGAUAGCGAACAAGUACCGUGAGGGAAAGAUGAAAAGAACUUUGAAAAGAGAGUUAAACAGUACGUGAAAUUGUCAAAAGGGAAGCGUUUGACACCAGUGUUGUUUUCUCGAAAAUCAAUUAAAAAGAGUUGGAUUUUGUGUUGUAUUGACCUUAUCAGCUUUCUGCACUCUUUUCUAGUCUUUUUUAAUGCACUUUUCGUUUAACAAGUCAACAUCAAUUUCUUUUGUUGUAAAAGGGUCAUUGGAAGGUGGCUUUCUUUUCGGAGAAAGUGUUUAUAGCCUUUGGCCUCUGCAAUCGGAGAGAUUGAGGUCUGCAGCGUAGAUCCUUCGGGGUUAGAUACAUUUGUGCUAAGUUACAGCCUUUCAUAGACAACUUGUUGACUAUGAUCAGUCAUGUAGCUUACUCGCUUAUGCUAUUUUACCUACGCUUAGGAUGUUGAGCGCAUGUCUCUCUCU